GGGUCUGUAAAAUGGUGAAAACUUUGACUUGCUUUCUUCAGCCAACUGACCUUUUUUCUCUCUUCUACUUGUGUACGCUAAUCUAGAGAUCACUUAUUGAUUUUGCGAUAAGAGAAGUUUAUCGUUUUAGUAAUCAUCAGAUACGUAGAAUUUUCACCGAAGUUAAAAAAAAGAAAAAUUCUUUACUUUCUUGAUGAUGAAAUCUUUCUUCUGCGAUUCCACCCCAGCCAAAUGAAACUUCUUGUUUCCACUUUAAUGGUGCUUAACCACCCCAAGGCUCCGGCAAAGGUUCUAUAGCAGUACCAAACAACUUGGGUCAUCACAGAAUUAGACUUUCCAGCGGAAAUUUUUGUACCCAUCUGCUGAAUUUGGAUAAAGAUCAAACCGUUUUCAUCCCAUAUAAAUUUUUUAUCACAAUCCAAUACUAAAGCUGAAAACUUUCUUUCAAUUCUCGAAACAGCCAUGUUAAUUCAACUCAAGAAAAGCCACCACGUAUGCUUGGGUUUUAUCAUUUAUGCCUUCUUUUUUGCAUCUCAACUACAUGCCCUGAAAGUCCCUUUUCAUCCCUUGGAUGUCUUGCCAGUUUUACCAAGACGAGUCUCGUGGCCAAUUAUGAACUAUUUGAAUAGUGCAGUGGACCUUUUGCCUUCGUUCGUUGGGGCUGCUUCUUCCACCAACAAUAGCUUGGAGUGGAAAGGGGCUUGCUUUUACGAAAAUACUGCUUGGUUGGAGUUUAACAACAAGAGCGGCAGCGAAUUCGGUGGAGGCACACUUCAUAUCAAGGUUAGCAAGGCUCAUAGCUGGACAUGUAUGGAUCUGUAUAUUUUUGCAACUCCAUACCGUGUGACAUGGGACUAUUACUUUUUGUCUCGUGAACAUACCCUUGAGUUCGAAGAGUGGGAAUCAGAACAGGAGUAUGAAUAUGUCAGACACAAGGGAGUUGUUGCAAUCUUCCUCAUGAAAGCAGGGAUGCUAGGCACCCUUCAAGCUCUAUGGGAUGUCUUCCCAUUGUUUACAAAUACAGGAUGGGGAGAGAAUUCAAAUAUUGGGUUUUUAAAGAAGCAUAUGGGGGCUUCAUUUGAGCAACGUCCUCAACCAUGGUCAUGAAUGUUAGCGUUGAUGAUAUACAGUCUGGAGAUUUCCUUGCAGUAUCAAAGAUUCGGGGCCGAUGGGGUGCUUUUGAGACUCUGGAAAAAUGGGUGAGUGGAGCUUAUGCUGGUCAUUCAGCUGUUUGUUUGAGAGAUUCUGAAGGGAAGUUAUGGGUUGGUGAAUCAGGACAUGAGGAUAAGGAGGGGCAAGAUAUCAUUGCUAUCUUACCAUGGGAUGAAUGGUGGGAUUUUGAGUUGACAAAGGACGAUUCUAAUCCACAUAUUGCCUUGCUUCCUUUGCAUCCUCACUUCCGUGCCAAGUUCAAUGAGACUGCUGCUUGGGAGUAUGCACGUAGUAUGGAAGGAUUAUCUUAUGGAUUCCAUAACUUGAUUUUUAGCUGGAUAGACACGAUUGAAGGAAAUUAUCCACCACCCUUGGAUGCUCAUUUGGUUGCUUCUGUCAUGACUGUCUGGAGUCAAUUGCAGCCAACAUAUGCUGCUAACCUGUGGAAUGAGGCCUUGAACAAGAGACUUGGAACUCAGGGGCUUGGUCUUCCUGAAAUUCUAGUUGAAGUGGAGAAGCGUGGAUCAUCUUUUGCUGAACUGUUGGCUAUUCCAGAAAGGGAUAACUGGACAUACGUUGACGGGAAAUCUGCAUCAUGUGUUGCCUUUGUCCUUGAGAUGUAUAAAGAAGCAGGAAUAUUUGGUGAACUUGGAAACUCCAUUGAAGUUACUGAGUUUACGAUUAAAGAUGCUUACUCACUCAAUAUUUUUGAAAAUGAUUCAAGCCACUUGCCUCAGUGGUGCAAGGAUGGUGACACAGUGGAGCUUCCCUUUUGCCAGAUUCGAGGGAAAUACCGGAUGGAAUUGCCUGGAUACAACACCAUAAAUCCAUACCCUCAUAUGAAUGAAAGGUGCCCAUCUAUGCCUCCCGAAUAUUACAGACCAGAGGGUUGCUAAUGGGUUCUUAAGUUGAUACCCUCUGGAGGGUCCUUGCACAAAUUUUUUGGAGCCUUACCCUCGUGAUGCCCAUCUCUAUUCAUGCAUUGUUUGACUUGCUUGGGAUGGCACUUAGGGACAAAUAUUGUCCAAUUUACUAUUAGUGAACUAUUUUAGGUAAAUGAAAAUGUAGCUACAUUGUACAGUUGCAAAUGAAUGUAAAUUAGUGGUGCUCUUAUGUUUCCAUUAUGUUUUAAUGAUUUCUUUUUUGGGCUUGGGGAAGCAGUAUCCGUGAAAUAUGACAUAACUUGAGUAGGUUAUGAACUAUGUUGGUAUUUGGGGUGCCUGUAUUCUAGAACAAGUGGUCUUUCACAUAAUUUUAAUGCUUUUGUACAUGUUAUGAGGAUGCAUGCUAGAGAUUCAUGAGGCUCCACGACAUGUGACAGCUUCAUCGUAUGCACUGUAUAUGGUAUUCGGGAUUGUCUUGUUUGAUCGAUUAA
Non-coding RNA from Coffea arabica (coffee), 2527 nucleotides. NCBI's taxonomy places the organism in Eukaryota, Viridiplantae, Streptophyta, Magnoliopsida, Gentianales, Rubiaceae. The record is from RefSeq and is a predicted model, not a curated record.